Long non-coding RNA from Scylla paramamosain (green mud crab), 1824 nucleotides. RefSeq lists it as uncharacterized. The record is from RefSeq and is a predicted model, not a curated record. The transcript has 2 exons. NCBI's taxonomy places the organism in Eukaryota, Metazoa, Arthropoda, Malacostraca, Decapoda, Portunidae.
UUACUUCCUCAAUUUUCUCCUACUCGUCUAGUUAUAUUUUAUUUGACGCAUGGGACCAUAUUUAAACUUUAGAAUGUUUUAUAAUCUAAAUUAUUAUAUAUUAUAGCUUGUCUUUCCAGCUACUUAUUGUUUGUCUGUCAAUCUCUAACUUGUUAUCUAAAAAAAAAGAAAACACAUAAAUUUUUUGAAAAAAAUAUCAUUGCAUAAAAUCAGGCGAAUAUAGUCAUUAAAUAUGAGUAGCAUAAAUAUACAGUGGACGGUUGUAAAUAGUUUAUAGCCCCGCGGCCUCUGUGAGCGAUUGGGAGGGUUUGGGGGCGGGGAGGCUGUGUUUACAUUUCAGACGGUGGAGGCAAUGUGACAGACUAGCGAGGGUUGAACGAUGCACAGUAUGUAUCACGCAGAGACUAUAGACAGUGGAAUUUAUCUGAACAUAUCGUAAAGUGCUGAGGUAGAGAAUGACAUAGUACAGGGACCAGAAAAAAUACCGCCCAGAUGACGCCAAGGGAUGGAGGAAACACUGACAACGUGUCCGGUAUCGAUUUAGCAUCAGCUGAGCUCUGCCACGCCACACUGGCGGCCCACCUGUAGGCCGCCCACUGCUGCCCCGCCGCCCUCAAGGUCACCCAGGCUAGUUGUCGCACCUUACAGGUGAGGUGAGGCAGGUGAGGCGAGAGCACCGUACAGCCAGCAGCAGUAGUGAGCCAGACGCGUGGUGUGGUGAAGUAAAGGACUGCAAGACGAGCUGCUGUGUUGACUGCUGGGCUGUUCCUUCCUCCUCCUGGCAACAUGGGUGCUCCUGAUGUGACUGUGGUGAGUGUUGUGUGGUGUUGUGGUGAGUGUUGUGUGGUGUUGUGGUGCGUGUGUGUGUGUGGAUUGACUUGGCGUUGCGUUUGUGUGUGUGUGUGUGUGUGUGUGUGUGUUAUAGAGGUGAAUGUUGGUGUUGUGUUAUCGUGUAUGUGUUUUUGGUUGACUUUAGGUAGUUUUUGUGUUUAGGUAAUGUGUGUUUUGUGUUUUAUUUUGCGAUAGCUAGAUGUGGAUGUGGUGAGUGUUGCUUUCCCUUUCCUUGCUUUCCUUCUUGGUUAACUUUCUGUUGCUUCGUCUCUUGUUCCUGUGGUGCGUGUUGUUGGUUUUAGAGGUGAAUAUAUUGAGUUGCUUUUCUUAUGGUGUUUUGUCUUUUGGUUACCUUCUCGUAGUUUUUUUUGUGUUGAGGUGAUGAGUGGCUUGUUUUGUUGUAGGUUUAGUACACGUUUCUGAAUUUUUUACCUCUUCGACUGGCGAGUGUGUUGUUUUUGUUUCGUGAUUCACUUAGCCUCGUCUUGUGCUGUGUGUUUUGUUUUGUUAUACGCUUAAAGUUCUUGCUUAAUUUGACUAAUAAUGUACGUUCUAUGUAUGUUUAUUAUUAUUAUUAUUAUUAUUAUUAUUAUUAUUAUUAUUAUUAUUAUUAUUAUUAUUUAUUUAUUUAUUUAUUUGUUUUUUUGCCAUAAACAUAUCUUGCUUUUAAAUUCACUGCAACUUAUGUUCCUCUUAAAAUUAAGGCAAAGUUUUUCUUCCUUCCGCUGUAUUUUGCGUAAUGUAGAGCAUACAUAAUUUUUUACAUGUAUUACAUAUUCGUUAACACAGCUAAGUAUCUUCACUCCGUUCUGAAUUUUUGCAAUUAAGGAAAACGAUAAAUUAGAAUAUCUGUUGUUACAUAUAGCAGACAUCAACAUAGGAAAGCUACAUUCCGUUCAUUACUAGGCUAUGAAUUCUCUCUCUCUCUCUCUCUCUCUCUCUCUCUCUCUCUCUCUCUCUCUCUCUCUCUCUCUCUCUCUCUCUCUCUCUCUC